UAAGUGAAUAGUGAAAUCUGGUGGCCCAACCAUACAGGCUAUUAUUCAAACUGGCAAACUCGAGAGUGGUAGAGGUCACUGGAAUUUCUUGUGUAGGAGUGAAAUCCGUAGAUAUAAGAAGGAACACCGAUGGCGUAGGCAGGUGACUGGACCAUUUCUGACGCUAAGGGCACGAAAAGCGUGGGGGAGCGAACCGGAUUAGAUACCCGGGUAGUCCACGCCGUAAACGAUGGAUACUG
RNAcentral lists this ribosomal RNA (239 nucleotides) under uncultured Candidatus Saccharibacteria bacterium. RNAcentral's name for it is "partial 16S ribosomal RNA". It matches the Rfam family "Bacterial small subunit ribosomal RNA", at positions 584 to 818 of the family's 1533-position model. Lineage: Bacteria; Candidatus Saccharimonadota. The record is from RNAcentral.